Molecule: ribosomal RNA, 438 nt
Filed under: Klebsiella pneumoniae
Lineage: Bacteria; Pseudomonadati; Pseudomonadota; Gammaproteobacteria; Enterobacterales; Enterobacteriaceae
Description: partial 23S ribosomal RNA
Rfam family: Bacterial large subunit ribosomal RNA
Source: RNAcentral
GGGACACGUGGUAUCCUGUCUGAAUAUGGGGGGACCAUCCUCCAAGGCUAAAUACUCCUGACUGACCGAUAGUGAACCAGUACCGUGAGGGAAAGGCGAAAAGAACCCCGGCGAGGGGAGUGAAAAAGAACCUGAAACCGUGUACGUACAAGCAGUGGGAGCACCUUCGGGUGUGACUGCGUACCUUUUGUAUAAUGGGUCAGCGACUUAUAUUCUGUAGCAAGGUUAACCGUAUAGGGGAGCCGCAGGGAAACCGAGUCUUAACUGGGCGUUAAGUUGCAGGGUAUAGACCCGAAACCCGGUGAUCUAGCCAUGGGCAGGUUGAAGGUUGGGUAACACUAACUGGAGGACCGAACCGACUAAUGUUGAAAAAUUAGCGGAUGACUUGUGGCUGGGGGUGAAAGGCCAAUCAAACCGGGAGAUAGCUGGUUCUCCCCG